Molecule: ribosomal RNA, 253 nt
Filed under: uncultured bacterium
Lineage: Bacteria
Description: partial 16S ribosomal RNA
Rfam family: Bacterial small subunit ribosomal RNA
Source: RNAcentral
UACGUAGGGUGCAAGCGUUGUCCGGAAUUAUUGGGCGUAAAGAGCUCGUAGGCGGUCUGUCGCGUCGGCUGUGAAAUCCCGGAGCUCAACUCCGGGUCUGCAGUCGAUACGGGCAGACUGGAGUUCGGCAGGGGAGACUGGAAUUCCUGGUGUAGCGGUGAAAUGCGCAGAUAUCAGGAGGAACACCGGUGGCGAAGGCGGGUCUCUGGGCCGAUACUGACGCUGAGGAGCGAAAGCGUGGGGAGCGAACAGG